AUCUGCUCAGGUCGAACGCGGCGGCGUGCCUAAUACAUCAUCACGCCUCUUUUUCCACGAGCUUGCUCCUCUAAAAGAGGAGUGGCGAACGGGUGAGUAACACGUGGGUAACCUGCCCAUCAGAAGGGGAUAACCUUGGAAACAGGUGCUAAUACCGUAUAACAUAAACCGCAUGGUUUCGAUUUGAAAGCGCUUUCGGUGUCCUAGAUGGACCCGCGGUGCAUUAGCUAGUUGGUGAGGUAACGGCUCACCAAGGCGACGAUGCAUAGCCGACCUGAGAGGGUGAUCGGCCACAUUGGGACUGAGACACGGCCCAAACUCCUACGGGAGGCAGCAGUAGGGAAUCUUCGCAAUGGACGAAAGUCUGACGAGCAACGCCGCGUGAGUGAAGAAGGUUUUCGGAUCGUAAAACUCUGUUGUUAGAGAAGAAUCAAGGAGAGAGUAACCUGUUCAUCCCUUGACGUAUACAAAGCC
This 474-nucleotide ribosomal RNA is filed under the name Enterococcus sp. Bal 1 A33. RNAcentral's name for it is "bacterial SSU rRNA". It matches the Rfam family "Bacterial small subunit ribosomal RNA", at positions 18 to 492 of the family's 1533-position model. The record is from RNAcentral. Lineage: Bacteria; Bacillati; Bacillota; Bacilli; Lactobacillales; Enterococcaceae.